CUUUUGAUUUUUUGUAUCUCUUUGUUUUACUUAAUCUAAAAUUGCACUAAAAAAUGUUCCCCAAUUUUAUCUUUGGUUGAACAAAUUUGAUAUUGGUGUGUUAAGAUUUCCUUUCUUUUUUUCAUUUGGGUUUGUUGUUGAUGUUCAGCUUUUCUUGUACUUUUCAACAAUUUCAAUGAAUUUGGGAGUAUACAAUUUUAAUGUGAUUCAUACUCUAGAUGAAGAACCACGUUCUCCUUGUUCUUUUUAUUUCAUUGAUAAGUAAUGGUUCAAUCACUAUGUUCUGCUCUGUUUAAUUGAUAGCAAAAUUGAGUGCGUUUGAGAAAUUUAAGGUUACAGAUCUGGUGAACAUGCCUGCUUCAGCUAGGGAUUUUUUCAUCAUUCAAGUGUAGUUACACGUGACACUACUUAGCAUAGGAACUGGUAAUUUUUUCUACUUUCAAUCCUCUUCUUGGUGUUCCUCUACUUUUGACUGAUACUUAAAUCUGGAGGUUUCUUUGAAUCUUUCUGCUUGUUUUUCACCUUCGAUUUCAUGCAUGAUAUAUUGGUGUGUUUUAAUUGAAUUUCGGCUUUUUUUAGUUUUUUGAGAUAUACUAAAUAAAGAAGCCUCUGCACUCAUGGUCAAUAUGCAUGUUUCAUCACAGGGCAAUUUGGUCAUUCCUUGCUUUCAUUUGGUUCAAGUGAUGCUCUGAUUUUUCAUAGUUUUCAUGGAUUUUACUCCACUGUGCUUAGUUUCCUUGUCGUUAUGUGUUUCGUGUAAUUUUAUUUGUUCUCUUUUUUUGUUCUAUCGGGGGUUACAAGUUGGGUUAAAUUAUGAUGGUUUCAAUUUGCAUAUGAAGUGUUUGAUAAAAGUGUUUACUAACUAUUAAGCCUCUGCUUCGUUGAUCAAAGAAACCAUUCUUGUUGUCCUCAAUUAAUGCUCUUAUUUGAGUUCCCUUAAUAUCAUUUAUGUUAACUUGCUUGAAUUUGGUUAUUCCCAUUUGUGUGUCUCGAUGUGUUGUCGCCAUAGUUUGGUUUACUAUGUGAAAUAUCAUAUUAUAGUAGUUGUUACUAGUGUUGUUUCGGUACGGUUUUCGUUGCAGUUCUUAGCUAGAGUUAGCUUUAGAAAAAAGAGCUAAUGAUUAAGAAAAUAUAUCUAAAUUGUCAUAAAUAUUUAAUCCCAAUCGAUGUAGAUCACUUUCUACCAUAAUAAGUUUACUUGCACUAGUUCUGAUCAAUAGUGACACAAUCUGUAAUUACACAAUCUAUUUCAUCCAUGAAGUUUUUUCAUUUCCAUAAUCUCGAAAUAGCAAGGAUACACUUCUGACCAUAUCAUAUAAAGCUGAUUUAUAUUUGGAAUGACAAGAGUUAUUGUAUAGGACUGGAUUUUUACCUUGUUCACAACCUCCAAAAGAUAGAGACUACAAUUUCCCUUGUUAUCAAAAAAAUUUGCACUUUCCUGAAAACUACAAAUCUUGAGUUGUUAUAGUGGACAUUAAAGUCGCUAUUCUGGAAAAGAAUGUAUCUGUGAAGUUGUAUCUUCAGGGGCCAUUUUGGUGAUGAUCUUAUCUGAUGUCUUUGUGCUUCGUGUUUUAAAAGGAAAAAGAAAUUGUUUACCCUUUCAUAGUUUAUGAAAAGGGUUUGGCUUGUUAUUCCAUAUUGAUUAUUUAUCAUGAAACCCAAGAACAUAAUAUUAUCAGUUUGAUUCCUAACAACAAUUUAGGUAGGUCUCUAAAGAGAUUUGUGUUGGAUAACCAGCUUUUGGGGAUAGCUCAAAAUUUUGAUAAAUUCUUAUUUCACCAACCAAACUUGUUUUCAAAAUUACCAUUCCUCAUAUUUUUGCUUGUAUAACAAUGUUAUUGUGGCUAUUAUUACCUUCUGAGACCAAGAAGAGGACCAAGAGUGUGAUCGGGAGCUGCUGGAUUCAGAUAUAAAAGUAGGCCAGUCUAUUGUUCUGAAGGUCAGCCAAUUUCAGAAGGCAUACCUUCGAUCAUCAAUGUUCGACUUAACUAUACAGAGGGGCAUUGAUAGUGAAGGCCAAAGCCCGAUUUCUUAAUUUUUGUAUUCAAAUUUUACAUAUGUGCAAGUUAAUUCUUUGAUAAUAUAACAAACUCGAAAUAUGAAUUAAAUUUUUU
Solanum lycopersicum (tomato) is the source of this 2114-nucleotide long non-coding RNA. RefSeq lists it as uncharacterized. Lineage: Eukaryota; Viridiplantae; Streptophyta; Magnoliopsida; Solanales; Solanaceae. The record is from RefSeq and is a predicted model, not a curated record.